This 454-nucleotide ribosomal RNA is filed under the name uncultured Anaerolineaceae bacterium. RNAcentral describes it as "bacterial SSU rRNA". It matches the Rfam family "Bacterial small subunit ribosomal RNA", at positions 915 to 1382 of the family's 1533-position model. The record is from RNAcentral. Lineage: Bacteria; Bacillati; Chloroflexota; Anaerolineae; Anaerolineales; Anaerolineaceae.
GGGGCCCCGCACAAGCAGCGGAGCGUGUGGUUUAAUUCGAUGUUACACGAAGAACCUUACCUGGGAUUGACAUGGAGGUGGUAGGGAAGCGAAAGCGGACCGACUCUUCGGAGAGCCUUCACAGGUGCUGCAUGGCUGUCGUCAGCUCGUGCCGUGAGGUGUCGGGUUAAGUCCCGUAACGAGCGCAACCCUUGCCCUUAGUUACAAGUGUCUAGGGGGACUGCCGGCGGGAAGCCGGAGGAAGGUGGGAUGACGUCAAGUCAGCAUGGCCCUUAUAUCCAGGGCUACACACACGCUACAAUGGUCGGUACAAAGGGCAGCGAAGCCGCGAGGUGGAGCGAAUCCCAGCAAAGCCGACCGUAGUACGGAUAGCAGGCUGCAACUCGCCUGCUUGAAGCUGGAGUUGCUAGUAACCGCGCGUCAGCAUAGUGCGGUGAAUACGUUCCCGGGGCUU